AUUGAACGCUGGCGGAAUGCUUUACACAUGCAAGUCGAACGGUAGAGGGGGCAACCCCUCGAGAGUGGCGAACGGGUGAGUAAUACAGCGGAACGUGCCCAGUCGUGGGGGAUAACGUAGCGAAAGUUACGCUAAUACCGCAUACGCUCGAAGGAUGAAAGCGGGGGAUCGCAAGACCUCGCGCGAUUGGAGCGGCCGAUAUCAGAUUAGGUAGUUGGUGGGGUAAAGGCUCGCCAAGCCAACGAUCGGUAGCUGGUCUGAGGGGACGACCAGCCACACUGGAACUGAGACACGGUCCAGACUCCUACGGGAGGCAGCAGUGGGGAAUUUUGGACAAUGGGCGCAAGCCUGAUCCAGCCAUUCCGCGUGAGUGAAGAAGGCCUUCGGGUUGUAAAGCUCUUUCGCAAGGGAAGAAAACUUAGCCACUAACAUUGGUUGAGGUUGACGGUACCUUGAUAAGAAGCACCGGCUAACUACGUGCCAGCCGCCGCCGUAA
This 496-nucleotide ribosomal RNA is filed under the name uncultured bacterium. RNAcentral describes it as "partial 16S ribosomal RNA". It matches the Rfam family "Bacterial small subunit ribosomal RNA", at positions 30 to 523 of the family's 1533-position model. The record is from RNAcentral.